GUGUGUUGUGGCGUUCCGGCCGGUGGGCAACGGGCUCCGUGGCGUGUAGCGGCUCCGUCGGCGCCUUGGAGUGGUGGUGGUGGGGGCCUCCUGUCAGGCUUCCUCAGCUCUCUGGGUCGCUGCGAUAAUCCUUUAGUCCUUGGCGGCGUCGUGCAGCAUCGGGACAUUCGGCAGUUGAAGUGUCUCCGAUCGCAAGAUCAGAUUCAAUUUAUCUGGACCGGGCAACGGCGGUGUCUUCGGACGUCGUACCCUCCUUGAAGACGUUGCUUUUGGACCCUUUGUCUCAAUGCGGCGGAUCCUUGAAUAAGUAUUGUGAAGUUUUCGGCUCGGUUUUCCUUAUAAACGGAACCAUUCUAUUCUUCUUAAUGAAUUGCAGGAGCACCCUGCCCUCUUGACGAGGUUCCGUAAAAAAAAGUGACGUGAAUCACGUCACUUAUUUCAGGACGGAGUGAGUAUAAUUUUUCCUUCUAUAGUUGAUGGUUGCUAUGCAGGAUGUUUGAUUCACUAGGAAAGGAAAUGCUCACAUCCAAGUUUGCCAUCGACCCCUUUGUGCCGGGGGCUGGGAAGCAGGAGAGAUUUAUCUGA
Molecule: long non-coding RNA, 585 nt
Organism: Brachypodium distachyon (stiff brome)
Lineage: Eukaryota; Viridiplantae; Streptophyta; Magnoliopsida; Poales; Poaceae
Exons: 2
Source: RefSeq, a predicted model, not a curated record